UCUUAGCACUUCCCGCUUCGCC
Molecule: microRNA, 22 nt
Filed under: Monodelphis domestica (gray short-tailed opossum)
Lineage: Eukaryota; Metazoa; Chordata; Mammalia; Didelphimorphia; Didelphidae
Description: mdo-miR-7271-5p
Source: miRBase by way of RNAcentral